UAGGGAAUCUUCGGCAAUGGACGAAAGUCUGACCGAGCAACGCCGCGUGAGUGAAGAAGGUUUUCGGAUCGUAAAACUCUGUUGUUAGAGAAGAACAAGGACGUUAGUAACUGAACGUCCCCUGACGGUAUCUAACCAGAAAGCCACGGCUAACUACGUGCCAGCAGCCGCGUUAAUACGUAGGUGGCAAGCGUUGUCCGGAUUUAUUGGGCGUAAAGCGAGCGCAGGGGGUUUCUUAAGUCUGAUGUGAAAGCCCCCGGCUCAACCGGGGAGGGUCAUUGGAAACUGGGAGACUUGAGUGCAGAAGAGGAGAGUGGAAUUCCAUGUGUAGCGGUGAAAUGCGAAGAUAUAUGGAGGAACACCAGUGGCGAAGGCGGCUCUCUGGUCUGUAACUGACGCUGAGGCUCGAAAGCGUGGGGAGCAAACAGG
This 429-nucleotide ribosomal RNA is filed under the name Gemmatimonadota bacterium. Its description in RNAcentral is "Gemmatimonadetes bacterium partial 16S ribosomal RNA". It matches the Rfam family "Bacterial small subunit ribosomal RNA", at positions 355 to 776 of the family's 1533-position model. The record is from RNAcentral. Lineage: Bacteria; Pseudomonadati; Gemmatimonadota.